This is a non-coding RNA of Monodelphis domestica (gray short-tailed opossum), 301 nucleotides long. NCBI's taxonomy places the organism in Eukaryota, Metazoa, Chordata, Mammalia, Didelphimorphia, Didelphidae. The record is from RefSeq and is a predicted model, not a curated record.
AAUCACUUGAUGGCUUUUCAGGAAGACUUUCAAGAAAAGAAGACGUUCAGGAAGCUAGAUGCUCUGAGAGGAAAAAUCUGUUUGUCCUUCAAAAAAUGAUAAUUAGAACCAUUGAAGUUAUCAGGUGAGAGAUCAUUCAAUAAAGGCAUCAGGAAGAAGAGAAAAGCAGUACUACUUUGGUGAUCUCCUGCUCAAAAGAAUUAAGGGCUCUAGAGAAGAGGCAAGAUGGCAGAAGAAGAGGAAGCAGUAUUCUACAUUCCUCUAGACAGAUCUAGAAAAUGACGCAGACUGAAUACUAAUG